RNAcentral lists this ribosomal RNA (499 nucleotides) under uncultured bacterium. Its description in RNAcentral is "bacterial SSU rRNA". It matches the Rfam family "Bacterial small subunit ribosomal RNA", at positions 29 to 507 of the family's 1533-position model. The record is from RNAcentral.
ACGAACGCUGGCGGCGUGCCUAAUACAUGCAAGUCGAGCGGAAUGAUGAAGAAGCUUGCUUCUUCUGAUUUUAGCGGCGGACGGGUGAGUAACACGUGGGCAACCUACCUUGUAGAUUGGGAUAACUCCGGGAAACCGGGGCUAAUACCGAAUAAUCCAUUUUGCUUCAUGGCGAGAUGUUGAAAGACGGUUUCGGCUGUCACUAUAAGAUGGGCCCGCGGCGCAUUAGCUAGUUGGUAGGGUAAUGGCCUACCAAGGCGACGAUGCGUAGCCGACCUGAGAGGGUGAUCAGCCACACUGGGACUGAGACACGGCCCAGACUCCUACGGGAGGCAGCAGUAGGGAAUCUUCCACAAUGGACGAAAGUCUGAUGGAGCAACGCCGCGUGAGUGAAGAAGGUUUUCGGAUCGUAAAACUCUGUUGUAAGGGAAGAACACGUACGAGAGUAACUGCUCGUACCUUGACGGUACCUUAUUAGAAAGCCACGGCUAACUACGUG